This 253-nucleotide ribosomal RNA is filed under the name uncultured bacterium. RNAcentral's name for it is "partial 16S ribosomal RNA". It matches the Rfam family "Bacterial small subunit ribosomal RNA", at positions 524 to 776 of the family's 1533-position model. The record is from RNAcentral.
UACGGAGGAGGCAAGCGUUAUCCGGAAUUAUUGGGCGUAAAGCGUCCGUAGGUGGCUCUUCAAGUCUGCUGUUAAAGAGUGGGGCUUAACCCUGCCAAGGCAGUGGAAACUGAAAGGCUAGAGAGCCGUAGGGGUAGAGGGAAUUCCCGGUGUAGCGGUGAAAUGCGUAGAGAUCGGGAAGAACAUCGGUGGCGAAAGCGCUCUACUGGACGGUAUCUGACACUGAGGGACGAAAGCUAGGGGAGCGAAUGGG